UACGUAGGUGGCGAGCGUUGUCCGGAUUUACUGGGCGUAAAGGGAGCGUAGGCGGACUUUUAAGUGAGAUGUGAAAUACUCGGGCUCAACUUGAGUGCUGCAUUUCAAACUGGAAGUCUAGAGUGCAGGAGAGGAGAAUGGAAUUCCUAGUAGCGGUGAAAUGCGUAGAGAUUAGGAAGAACACCAGUGGCGAAGGCGAUUCUCUGGACUGUAACUGACGCUGAGGCUCGAAAGCGUGGGGAGCAAACAGG
Molecule: ribosomal RNA, 251 nt
Filed under: uncultured bacterium
Lineage: Bacteria
Description: partial 16S ribosomal RNA
Rfam family: Bacterial small subunit ribosomal RNA
Source: RNAcentral